Echinops telfairi (small Madagascar hedgehog) is the source of this 121-nucleotide small nucleolar RNA. The record is from Ensembl. Lineage: Eukaryota; Metazoa; Chordata; Mammalia; Afrosoricida; Tenrecidae.
CCCUUUUGGGUUCCUUGUCCCUCAGAUAUAAAUAUUGCUCUGAGUGGCUGAAAAAGAAGGAAAAGUAAAACUGAAGUGGACUUGGAAUCUUUAAUAACUUACAAGUUCAUUUCAAACAUAG